This 95-nucleotide small RNA is filed under the name Flavobacterium aquatile LMG 4008 = ATCC 11947. RNAcentral describes it as "Flavobacterium aquatile LMG 4008 Flavo-1 RNA". It matches the Rfam family "Flavo-1 RNA". Lineage: Bacteria; Pseudomonadati; Bacteroidota; Flavobacteriia; Flavobacteriales; Flavobacteriaceae. The record is from Rfam by way of RNAcentral.
GCUUAGCCCUGAUAGCAGUGGAAAUCCUUUUUAAUUUUGUUCGGAGCUUGCGGAGUGCAAAAUUAAAAAGAUUGCAACGAAUAGCAGGAACUAGC